AUCCGUAUAUUAUCGAUGGAUGUGUCCUAUUGAAAGAUAAAAAAAUUGUAAUCUCUUCAUCAUAUCAGUUAUAAGAUGUAAAUAUAUUAGUUAAAUUUAAAUUUAUUUUUAUUUGUAGAUUCUUGUGUAUUCUAAAAAAGUAUGUGCACAAUAAGGCAUAGCUUGAAGGGUCUAUAGCGGAAGCAUACAUAGUUACAGAGUG
RNAcentral lists this long non-coding RNA (202 nucleotides) under Elaeis guineensis (African oil palm). Its description in RNAcentral is "long non-coding RNA (EGUI_LNC063428)". The record is from RNAcentral. Lineage: Eukaryota; Viridiplantae; Streptophyta; Magnoliopsida; Arecales; Arecaceae.